This 253-nucleotide ribosomal RNA is filed under the name uncultured bacterium. Its description in RNAcentral is "partial 16S ribosomal RNA". It matches the Rfam family "Bacterial small subunit ribosomal RNA", at positions 524 to 776 of the family's 1533-position model. The record is from RNAcentral.
GACGAGGGGUCCUAGCGUUGUUCGGAAUCAUUGGGCGUAAAGCGUGUGUAGGCUGCCAUUCAAGUCAGUUGUGAAAUCCCCGGGCUUAACCCGGGAAGUGCUUCUGAUACUGUUUGGAUUGAGUACUGGAGAGGAUAGUAGAAUUCCUGGUGUAGUGGUGAAAUACGUAGAUAUCAGGAGGAAUACCGGUGGCGAAGGCGGCUAUCUGGCCAUGUACUGACGCUGAGACACGAAAGCGUGGGGAGCAAACAGG